GAAAAACGAAAAAUUUGUGAUGGAGUAUUUCAAGGUACAAUAUAACCCCAUUAUGAUACAAGAAUGGAGUAAAGUUGUAAUUUAACCACUGAAUUUUGCACCUUCACCAUUUCUGAAACCUUGUUAAAUGUUGUAGAGAGAACUCCUACCAGAAGUACAAAACCCUUAACAAAAUGAUCCUAAUGAUUCUGAGAAUUUUUCAGGCCUCUCUCUAAUCUGUCAUUAAUAUAUUUUAAAGAUGUGCUUAAAAGUUAAUAAAACUAGCAGCAAAUAAAAAUUCAUACAUAUAUUAACUUUAAAACAAUCUAAAAUUAAUCUCUAUCAAUUGUGCGAUAUUUAAUUUUUCAAGAGCCCAAAUAUUCUGGAAAUAUGAUUCUACUGGAUUAUCCCUAGGAAAUAUUGUUAUGCAGACAAGUUCUGCACAAUAGGAUUAUGUUAUGCAGCAUCCUGUUAAAUGGCAACAAAAUAUAAAAGUCAUAAACUCAUUUGCCAGGAUUCUAAAUGAAUUCUCUUUGAAUCAU
RNAcentral lists this long non-coding RNA (521 nucleotides) under Bos taurus (domestic cattle). Its description in RNAcentral is "long non-coding RNA NONBTAT010670". Lineage: Eukaryota; Metazoa; Chordata; Mammalia; Artiodactyla; Bovidae. The record is from RNAcentral.